AUUGAACGCUGGCGGCAGGCCUAACACAUGCAAGUCGAGCGGAAACGAGUUAUCUGAACCUUCGGGGGACGAUAACGGCGUCGAGCGGCGGACGGGUGAGUAAUGGCUGGGAACCUGCCCUAACGAGGGGGAUAACAGUUGGAAACGACUGCUAAUACCGCAUAAUGUCUACGGACCAAAGAGGGGGCUCUUAGGACCUCUCGCGUUAGGAUGGGCCCAGUUGGGAUUAGCUAGUUGGUGAGGUAAUGGCUCACCAAGGCGACGAUCCCUAGCUGGUUUGAGAGGAUGAUCAGCCACACUGGAACUGAGACACGGUCCAGACUCCUACGGGGAGGCAGCAGUGGGGAAUAUUGCACAAUGGGCGCAAGCCUGAUGCAGCCAUGCCGCGUGUGUGAAGAAGGCCUUCGGGUUGUAAAGCACUUUCAGCGAGGAGGAAAGGUUAAGUCUUAAUACGGCUUAGCUGUGACGUUACUCGCAGAAGAAGCACCGGCUAACUUCGU
Molecule: ribosomal RNA, 500 nt
Filed under: uncultured bacterium
Lineage: Bacteria
Description: bacterial SSU rRNA
Rfam family: Bacterial small subunit ribosomal RNA
Source: RNAcentral